This 207-nucleotide ribosomal RNA is filed under the name uncultured bacterium. Its description in RNAcentral is "partial 16S ribosomal RNA". It matches the Rfam family "Bacterial small subunit ribosomal RNA", at positions 568 to 774 of the family's 1533-position model. The record is from RNAcentral.
CGUGUAGGCGGUUUGGUAAGUCGGAUGUGAAAGCUCCUGGCUUAACUGGGAGAGGCCAUUCGAUACUGCGGGACUUGAGGACGGGAGAGGGACGUGGAAUUCCCGGUGUAGUGGUGGAAUGCGUAGAUAUCGGGAGGAACACCAGUGGCGAAGGCGACGUCCUGGCCCGCACCUGACGCUAAGACGCGAAAGCGUGGGUAGCGAACG